This 481-nucleotide ribosomal RNA is filed under the name uncultured bacterium. RNAcentral describes it as "bacterial SSU rRNA". It matches the Rfam family "Bacterial small subunit ribosomal RNA", at positions 29 to 524 of the family's 1533-position model. The record is from RNAcentral.
AUUGAACGCUGGCGGCAUGCCUUACACAUGCAAGUCGAACGGCAGCACGGGAGCAAUCCUGGUGGCGAGUGGCGAACGGGUGAGUAAUGUAUCGGAACGUGCCUUGUCGUGGGGGAUAACGUAGCGAAAGCUACGCUAAUACCGCAUACCAUCUAAGGAUGAAAGCGGGGGAUCGCAAGACCUCGCGCGACAAGAGUGGCCGAUAUCAGAUUAGGUUGUUGGUGGGGGUAAAGGCCUACCAAGCCGACGAUCUGUAGCUGGUCUGAGAGGACGAUCAGCCACACUGGGACUGAGACACGGCCCAGACUCCUACGGGAGGCAGCAGUGGGGAAUCUUGCGCAAUGGGCGAAAGCCUGACGCAGCAACGCCGCGUGGGGGACGAAGGGCUCUCGGGUUGUAAAACCCCCUUUUCAGGAGGGACGAAAUUGACGGUACCUCCAGAAGAAGCCCCGGCCAACUACGUGCCAGCAGCCGCGGUAAU